RNAcentral lists this long non-coding RNA (366 nucleotides) under Apteryx rowi (Okarito brown kiwi). RNAcentral describes it as "lncRNA (ENSARWG00000000145.1)". The record is from RNAcentral. Lineage: Eukaryota; Metazoa; Chordata; Aves; Apterygiformes; Apterygidae.
UCUCUCCAAAUACAGUUUGUGUUGACCAGUGAAUUCUUGUUGGUUUUAUAUUUGGAAGAUACUUCAGAGUUUGAUCGUAAUAGCACAGUUCCAGGGCCAGCUAUGAGGUACCGGAUCCUUCCUGGGGAUCUUUUGCAGCCCUACCUUCCCAACAAGACAGAACCUGUGGAAGAGCUGCACAGGAACCUAGGUCCCUGCACUCUGCUGAUCCCUGCUCCAGUGCCGACAGGCCGCGCUCCUCGCACUGCGCCCUGCUCACCUCYGCGGCAUCUGUAGCACCAGAGGAGAGAGCGAUCUUGCUGCUGCCUCACAGAUGAGCCCAUGAACACUGCCUCGAGCCUCCACCCUGACUACCAGCUUCCUCCU